GGGUUGUGAGGUUAAGCGACUAAGCGUACACGGUGGAUGCCCUGGCAGUCAGAGGCGAUGAAGGACGUGCUAAUCUGCGAAAAGCGCCGGCGAGGUGAUAUGAACCCUUGACCCGGCGAUGUCCGAAUGGGGAAACCCAGUGCAAUUCGUUGCACUAUCGUUAACUGAAUACAUAGGUUAACGAGGCGAACCGGGGGAACUGAAACAUCUAAGUACCCCGAGGAAAAGAAAUCAACCGAGAUUCCCCCAGUAGCGGCGAGCGAACGGGGAGCAGCCCGGAGUCUGAAUCAGCUUGUGUGUUAGUGGAACGGUCUGGAAAGUCCGACGGUACAGGGUGAUAGUCCCGUACACGAAAACACACUUGCUGUGAACUCGAAGAGUAGGGCGGGACACGUGGUAUCCUGUCUGAAUAUGGGGGGACCAUCCUCCAAGGCUAAAUACUCCUGACUGACCGAUAGUGAACCAGUACCGUGAGGGAAAGGCGAAAAGAACCCCGGCGAGGGGAGUGAAAAAGAACCUGAAACCGUGUACGUACAAGCAGUGGGAGCCUCUUUAUGGGGUGACUGCGUACCUUUUGUAUAAUGGGUCAGCGACUUAUAUUCUGUAGCAAGGUUAACCGUAUAGGGGAGCCGAAGGGAAACCGAGUCUUAACUGGGCGUUAAGUUGCAGGGUAUAGACCCGAAACCCGGUGAUCUAGCCAUGGGCAGGUUGAAGGUUGGGUAACACUAACUGGAGGACCGAACCGACUAAUGUUGAAAAAUUAGCGGAUGACCUGUGGCUGGGGGUGAAAGGCCAAUCAAACCGGGAGAUAGCUGGUUCUCCCCGAAAGCUAUUUAGGUAGCGCCUCGUGAACUCAUCUUCGGGGGUAGAGCACUGUUUCGGCUAGGGGGCCAUCCCGGCUUACCAACCCGAUGCAAACUACGAAUACCGAAGAAUGUUAUCACGGGAGACACACGGCGGGUGCUAACGUCCGUCGUGAAGAGGGAAACAACCCAGACCGCCAGCUAAGGUCCCAAAGUCAUGGUUAAGUGGGAAACGAUGUGGGAAGGCACAGACAGCCAGGAUGUUGGCUUAGAAGCAGCCAUCAUUUAAAGAAAGCGUAAUAGCUCACUGGUCGAGUCGGCCUGCGCGGAAGAUGUAACGGGGCUAAACCAUGCACCGAAGCUGCGGCAGCGACACUAUGUGUUGUUGGGUAGGGGAGCGUUCUGUAAGCCGUUGAAGGUGUGCUGUGAGGCAUGCUGGAGGUAUCAGAAGUGCGAAUGCUGACAUAAGUAACGAUAAAGCGGGUGAAAAGCCCGCUCGCCGGAAGACCAAGGGUUCCUGUCCAACGUUAAUCGGGGCAGGGUGAGUCGACCCCUAAGGCGAGGCCGAAAGGCGUAGUCGAUGGGAAACAGGUUAAUAUUCCUGUACUUGGUGUUACUGCGAAGGGGGGACGGAGAAGGCUAUGUCAGCCGGGCGACGGUUGUCCCGGUUUAAGCAUGUAGGCGGAGGUUCCAGGUAAAUCCGGUACCUUAUUAACGCUGAGGUGUGAUGACGAGGCACUACGGUGCUGAAGUGAUAAAUGCCCUGCUUCCAGGAAAAGCCUCUAAGCAUCAGGUAACACGAAAUCGUACCCCAAACCGACACAGGUGGUCAGGUAGAGAAUACCAAGGCGCUUGAGAGAACUCGGGUGAAGGAACUAGGCAAAAUGGUGCCGUAACUUCGGGAGAAGGCACGCUGAUAGGUAGGUGAAGCCCCUGCGGGCGGAGCUGAAAUCAGUCGAAGAUACCAGCUGGCUGCAACUGUUUAUUAAAAACACAGCACUGUGCAAACACGAAAGU
Molecule: ribosomal RNA, 1820 nt
Filed under: Enterobacter hormaechei subsp. oharae
Lineage: Bacteria; Pseudomonadati; Pseudomonadota; Gammaproteobacteria; Enterobacterales; Enterobacteriaceae
Description: bacterial LSU rRNA
Rfam family: Bacterial large subunit ribosomal RNA
Source: RNAcentral